GAAGGUGUGUCGUGAGGCAUGCUGGAGGUAUCAGAAGUGCGAAUGCUGACAUAAGUAACGAUAAAGCGGGUGAAAAGCCCGCUCGCCGGAAGACCAAGGGUUCCUGUCCAACGUUAAUCGGGGCAGGGUGAGUCGACCCCUAAGGCGAGGCCGAAAGGCGUAGUCGAUGGGAAACGGGUUAAUAUUCCCGUACUUGGUGUUACUGCGAAGGGGGGACGGAGAAGGCUAUGUUGGCCGGGCGACGGUUGUCCCGGUUUAAGCGUGUAGGUGUGUGUUCCAGGUAAAUCCGGUUCACUUUAACACUGAGGCGUGAUGACGAGGCACUACGGUGCUGAAGCAACAAAUGCCCUGCUUCCAGGAAAAGCCUCUAAGCAUCAGGUAACAUCAAAUCGUACCCCAAACCGACACAGGUGGUCAGGUAGAGAAUACCAAGGCGCUUGAGAGAACUCGGGUGAAGGAACUAGGCAAAAUGGUGCCGUAACU
This 483-nucleotide ribosomal RNA is filed under the name Salmonella enterica subsp. enterica serovar Infantis. Its description in RNAcentral is "partial 23S ribosomal RNA". It matches the Rfam family "Bacterial large subunit ribosomal RNA", at positions 1252 to 1735 of the family's 2925-position model. The record is from RNAcentral. Lineage: Bacteria; Pseudomonadati; Pseudomonadota; Gammaproteobacteria; Enterobacterales; Enterobacteriaceae.